Adelges cooleyi (spruce gall adelgid) is the source of this 310-nucleotide long non-coding RNA. RefSeq lists it as uncharacterized. Lineage: Eukaryota; Metazoa; Arthropoda; Insecta; Hemiptera; Adelgidae. The record is from RefSeq and is a predicted model, not a curated record. The transcript has 3 exons.
UUUUUAUUAAAUUCUCUAUUAGCUGAUUCCGUUGUUGAUCUUUCCGACUCAGAUUUUGAAUCUUCUGUAGCACAAUAUGACACAUCUUUGGUCAUGUUUUAUGCCCCAUGGUGUGGUCAUUGUAAGAAACUCAAACCCGAGUUCGAAAUAGCAGCUAAAAGUUUACUGAAAGAAGAUCCUCCAGUUACAUUAGCUAAGGUGGAUUGUACUGAAGCUGGAAAAGAAACUUGCAACAAAUUUGGCGUCUCUGGAUAUCCUACACUUAAAAUAUUCCGAAAUGGAGAAAUGUCUAAAGAGUAUAGUGGUCCCA